RNAcentral lists this ribosomal RNA (614 nucleotides) under Botryosphaeria dothidea. RNAcentral's name for it is "eukaryotic LSU rRNA". It matches the Rfam family "Eukaryotic large subunit ribosomal RNA", at positions 38 to 667 of the family's 3401-position model. Lineage: Eukaryota; Fungi; Ascomycota; Dothideomycetes; Botryosphaeriales; Botryosphaeriaceae. The record is from RNAcentral.
GCAUAUCAAUAAGCGGAGGAAAAGAAACCAACAGGGAUUGCCUUAGUAACGGCGAGUGAAGCGGCAACAGCUCAAAUUUGAAAGCUGGCUCCUUUGGAGUCCGCGUUGUAAUUUGUAGAGGAUGAUUCGGCAAGGGCUCCCGCCUAAGUCUCCUGGAACGGAGCGUCAUAGAGGGUGAGAAUCCCGUAUGCGGUGGGCUGCCUAAGCCAUGUGAAUCUCCUUCGACGAGUCGAGUUGUUUGGGAAUGCAGCUCUAAAUGGGAGGUAAAUUUCUUCUAAAGCUAAAUACCGGCCAGAGACCGAUAGCGCACAAGUAGAGUGAUCGAAAGAUGAAAAGCACUUUGGAAAGAGAGUUAAAAAGUACGUGAAAUUGUUGAAAGGGAAGCGCUUGCAGCCAGACUUGUCCGCAGUUGCUCACCCGGUCUCCUGACCGGUGUACUCUUCUGCGGCCAGGCCAGCAUCAGUUCGGGCGGUCGGAUAAAGACCUCGGGAAUGUAGCUCCUCUCGGGGAGUGUUAUAGCCCGGGGUGGAAUGCGGCCAGCCUGGACUGAGGAUCUCGCUUCGGCUAGGAUGCUGGCGUAAUGGCUGUAAGCGGCCCGUCUUGAAACACGGACC